AUGGACCUAUUUGGGCCUCCAUCCUUUGACAAUAUUGGGGGUAGAAAGUAUUGCUUGGUGAUUGUGGAUGAUUAUUCAAGAUACAGUUGGGUAUAUUUCUUCAAGAGGAAGAGUGAAACUCAGCAAACCGUCAUUGACUUUGCAAAUGAAGCUCAACGUCAACAUGAUGCAAAGAUCUUGACAAUAAGAAGUGACAACGGCACCGAGUCCAAGAACUACACCUUGGAUGAGUUUCUUAGUGAUGAGGGAAUCAAGCAUCAAUAUGAUGCACCCUAUACCCCUCAACAAAAUGGUGUCACAGAGAGGAAGAACUAG
Molecule: ribosomal RNA, 315 nt
Filed under: Triticum aestivum (bread wheat)
Lineage: Eukaryota; Viridiplantae; Streptophyta; Magnoliopsida; Poales; Poaceae
Description: partial small subunit ribosomal RNA
Source: RNAcentral